ACUGGGUCUAAUACCGGAUACGACCAAUCCUCGCAUGAGGGUUGGUGGAAAGUUUUUCGAUCGGGGAUGGGCUCGCGGCCUAUCAGCUUGUUGGUGGGGUAAUGGCCUACCAAGGCGACGACGGGUAGCCGGCCUGAGAGGGCGACCGGCCACACUGGGACUGAGACACGGCCCAGACUCCUACGGGAGGCAGCAGUGGGGAAUAUUGCACAAUGGGGGAAACCCUGAUGCAGCGACGCAGCGUGCGGGAUGACGGCCUUCGGGUUGUAAACCGCUUUCAGCAGGGAAGAAGCGAAAGUGACGGUACCUGCAGAAGAAGUACCGGCUAACUACGUGCCAGCAGCCGCGGUAAUACGUAGGGUACGAGCGUUGUCCGGAAUUAUUGGGCGUAAAGAGCUCGUAGGUGGUUGGUCACGUCUGCUGUGGAAACGCAACGCUUAACGUUGCGCGUGCAGUGGGUACGGGCUGACUAGAGUGCAGUAGGGGAGUCUGGAAUUCCUGGUGUAGCGGUGAAAUGCGCAGAUAUCAGGAGGAACACCGGUGGCGAAGGCGGGACUCUGGGCUGUAACUGACACUGAGGAGCGAAAGCAUGGGGAGCGAACAGGAUUAGAUACCCUGGUAGUCCAUGCCGUAAACGUUGGGCACUAGGUGUGGGGGACAUUCCACGUUCUCCGCGCCGUAGCUAACGCAUUAAGUGCCCCGCCUGGGGAGUACGGUCGCAAGGCUAAAACUCAAAGGAAUUGACGGGGGCCCGCACAAGCGGCGGAGCAUGCGGAUUAAUUCGAUGCAACGCGAAGAACCUUACCAAGGCUUGACAUACACUGGACCGUUCCGGAAACAGUUCUUCUCUUUGGAGCUGGUGUACAGGUGGUGCAUGGUUGUCGUCAGCUCGUGUCGUGAGAUGUUGGGUUAAGUCCCGCAACGAGCGCAACCCUCGUUCUAUGUUGCCAGCACGUGAUGGUGGGAACUCAUAGGAGACUGCCGGGGUCAACUCGGAGGAAGGUGGGGAUGACGUCAAAUCAUCAUGCCCUUUAUGUCUUGGGCUUCACGCAUGCUACAAUGGCUGGUACAGAGAGAGGCGAACCCGUGAGGGUAAGCGAAUCCCUUAAAGCCAGUCUCAGUUCGGAUCGUAGUCUGCAAUUCGACUACGUGAAGUCGGAGUCGCUAGUAAUCGCAGAUCAGCAA
This 1185-nucleotide ribosomal RNA is filed under the name Brevibacterium sp. 153A. RNAcentral describes it as "bacterial SSU rRNA". It matches the Rfam family "Bacterial small subunit ribosomal RNA", at positions 156 to 1355 of the family's 1533-position model. Lineage: Bacteria; Bacillati; Actinomycetota; Actinomycetes; Micrococcales; Brevibacteriaceae. The record is from RNAcentral.